CAGUUAAAACUUGUUCAAGCCCAAAAGAUGUUCAAAUCACAAAAGAAUUUAAUUUUAUAUACCUUCGUCAUUUUUCUAAUGAUGAUCUCAUCAAAAGAUAUUUUCGUAAAUGCAAAAGCAAUCGAUCAAAAUUUUCAAGUACUGAGCAACGACGAUGGAACUCAUAUCGAUAUUGAAUUCGCACUUGACAUGCAUUUGGACAUCAAAGUGAAUGGACAACAUGUUACUUCAACGACUGAAAUUCCAACGACUUCUACUACUUUUUAUUCUACAACUCCAAGCUAA
Culicoides brevitarsis is the source of this 285-nucleotide long non-coding RNA. RefSeq lists it as uncharacterized. The transcript has 2 exons. The record is from RefSeq and is a predicted model, not a curated record. NCBI's taxonomy places the organism in Eukaryota, Metazoa, Arthropoda, Insecta, Diptera, Ceratopogonidae.